GACGAACGCUGGCGGCGUGCUUAACACAUGCAAGUCGAACGGAAAGGCCCGGCUUUUGUGGGGUGCUCGAGUGGCGAACGGGUGAGUAACACGUGAGUAACCUGCCCUUGACUUUGGGAUAACUUCAGGAAACUGGGGCUAAUACCGGAUAGGAGCUCCUGCUGCAUGGUGGGGGUUGGAAAGUUUCGGCGGUUGGGGAUGGACUCGCGGCUUAUCAGCUUGUUGGUGGGGUAGUGGCUUACCAAGGCUUUGACGGGUAGCCGGCCUGAGAGGGUGACCGGCCACACUGGGACUGAGAUACGGCCCAGACUCCUACGGGAGGCAGCAGUGGGGAAUAUUGCACAAUGGGCGGAAGCCUGAUGCAGCGACGCCGCGUGCGGGAUGACGGCCUUCGGGUUGUAAACCGCUUUCGCCUGUGACGAAGCGUGAGUGACGGUAAUGGGUAAAGAAGCACCGGCUAACUACGUG
This 468-nucleotide ribosomal RNA is filed under the name uncultured bacterium. RNAcentral describes it as "partial 16S ribosomal RNA". It matches the Rfam family "Bacterial small subunit ribosomal RNA", at positions 28 to 507 of the family's 1533-position model. The record is from RNAcentral.